This 362-nucleotide ribosomal RNA is filed under the name bacterium enrichment culture DGGE band 61_3_F_Ac. RNAcentral's name for it is "bacterial SSU rRNA". It matches the Rfam family "Bacterial small subunit ribosomal RNA", at positions 503 to 862 of the family's 1533-position model. The record is from RNAcentral.
UUGUGNCAGCACGCCGCGGUAAUACGUAGGUGGCAAGCGUUGUCCGGAAUUACUGGGCGUAAAGAGCGCGUAGGCGGGGAUUUAAGUCAGGAGUGAAAACUGCGGGCUCAACCUGCAGCCUGCUCUUGAAACUGGAUUUCUUGAGGGUAUGAGAGGAAAGCGGAAUUCCCAGUGUAGCGGUGAAAUGCGUAGAUAUUGGGAGGAACACCAGUGGCGAAGGCGGCUUUCUGGCAUACAACUGACGCUGAGGCGCGAAAGCGUGGGGAGCGAACGGGAUUAGAUACCCCGGUAGUCCACGCCGUAAACGAUGGGCACUAGGUGUAGGAGGUAUCGACCCCUUCUGUGCCGUAGUUAACACAAAA